UACGAAGGGGGCUAGCGUUGCUCGGAAUCACUGGGCGUAAAGCGCGCGUAGGCGGCUUUCUAAGUCAGGGGUGAAAUCCUGGAGCUCAACUCCAGAACUGCCUUUGAUACUGGAGAGCUUGAGUCCGGAAGAGGUGAGUGGAACUCCGAGUGUAGAGGUGAAAUUCGUAGAUAUUCGGAAGAACACCAGUGGCGAAGGCGGCUCACUGGUCCGGUACUGACGCUGAGGUGCGAAAGCGUGGGGAGCAAACAGG
Molecule: ribosomal RNA, 253 nt
Filed under: uncultured bacterium
Lineage: Bacteria
Description: partial 16S ribosomal RNA
Rfam family: Bacterial small subunit ribosomal RNA
Source: RNAcentral